UCUGAUAUUAAUAUUGAAGGCAUUUCUACCGUCAAUAUUAAUUCAAUAACUGCUUCUAAACCAAAAACUUCACCACCAGACAUCUUAGAGCGGGAGUCUGACCUGAAAUCACAGAGAAAUGAACAACAUCAACAAUCAGGAUUACAGCUUUCUGUGACGUUUUCCUCAGCAGUGAGCAGUGACCUACAGUCUACACAGCCCAGUGAAGUGAAACAUAUUAUAUGCUUGGAAUCAUUUAUCCUGUACAACAUGUCAACAUAACUGAAGGAAUUACUCAUCUAAUAAAGUAACUUGUUUAUGUGGUUUAAAAACUGCUCAGUAACCAACUGUACUGUACUGUAUCCAUAUUUCAUAGUCUGAUAUUUUAACUUGAAAGUAUUAUUACCAAAGUUAACCUUCAGAUAUUUGUAAAAGCUGCAAUUAUGUUUUACGUUUUAUUUGAUAUAUUAUGAUGUCAUUUAUCUUCCAACAUAAUAAAGUUUGAAUGUGAGACAGUAA
Molecule: long non-coding RNA, 498 nt
Organism: Dicentrarchus labrax (European seabass)
Lineage: Eukaryota; Metazoa; Chordata; Actinopteri; Moronidae
Exons: 2
Source: RefSeq, a predicted model, not a curated record